CAGUAACAGGGAGCUUGCUCCGCUGACGAGUGGCGAACGGGUGAGUAAUAUAUCGGAACGUACCCAAGAGUGGGGGAUAACGUAGCGAAAGUUACGCUAAUACUGCAUACGAUCUAAGGAUGAAAGCAGGGGAUCUUCGGACCUUGUGCUCCUGGAGCGGCCGAUAUCUGAUUAGCUAGUUGGUGAGGUAAAGGCUCACCAAGGCGACGAUCAGUAGCUGGUCUGAGAGGACGACCAGCCACACUGGAACUGAGACACGGUCCAGACUCCUACGGGAGGCAGCAGUGGGGAAUUUUGGACAAUGGGCGCAAGCCUGAUCCAGCAAUGCCGCGUGAGUGAAGAAGGCCUUCGGGUUGUAAAGCUCUUUUGUCAGGGAAGAAACGGGAGUGGCUAAUAUCCAUUCUUAAUGACGGUACCUGAAGAAUAAGCACCGGCUAACUACGUGCCAGCAGCCGCGGUAAUACGUAGGGUGCAAGCGUUAAUCGGAAUUACUGGGCGUAAAGCGUGCGCAGGCGGUUUUGUAAGUCUGUCGUGAAAUCCCCGGGCUCAACCUGGGAAUUGCGAUGGAGACUGCAAGGCUAGAAUCUGGCAGAGGGGGGUAGAAUUCCACGUGUAGCAGUGAAAUGCGUAGAGAUGUGGAGGAACACCGAUGGCGAAGGCAGCCCCCUGGGUCAAGAUUGACGCUCAUGCACGAAAGCGUGGGGAGCAAACAGGAUUAGAUACCCUGGUAGUCCACGCCCUAAACGAUGUCUACUAGUUGUCGGGUUUUAAUUAACUUGGUAACGCAGCUAACGCGUGAAGUAGACCGCCUGGGGAGUACGGUCGCAAGAUUAAAACUCAAAGGAAUUGACGGGGACCCGCACAAGCGGUGGAUGAUGUGGAUUAAUUCGAUGCAACGCGAAAAACCUUACCUACCCUUGACACGUACGGAAGCCACGAGAGAUCGAGGUGUGCUCGAAAGAGAGCCGUAACACAGGUGCUGCAUGGCUGUCGUCAGCUCGUGUCGUGAGAUGUUGGGUUAAGUCCCGCAACGAGCGCAACCCUUGUCAUUAGUUGCUACAUUCAGUUGAGCACUCUAAUGAGACUGCCGGGACAAACCGGAGGAAGGUGGGGAUGACGUCAAGUCCUCAUGGCCCUUAUGGGUAGGGCUUCACACGUCAUACAAUGGUACAUACAGAGGGCCGCCAACCCGCGAGGGGGAGCUAAUCCCAGAAAGUGUAUCGUAGUCCGGAUCGCAGUCUGCAACUCGACUGCGUGAAGUUGGAAUCGCUAGUAUCGCGGAUCA
RNAcentral lists this ribosomal RNA (1285 nucleotides) under uncultured bacterium. RNAcentral describes it as "bacterial SSU rRNA". It matches the Rfam family "Bacterial small subunit ribosomal RNA", at positions 67 to 1351 of the family's 1533-position model. The record is from RNAcentral.